CUCCUCCAAGAUGAUGAGAUUAUCACCUAUAUAUUGGCUAGACUUGGAUCAGAAUUUGACCCCUGGUGACCUUAAUUAGUACCAGAACUGAUCCCAUAAACCUCACCGACCUCUAUGCUCAUCUCUUGAGCUAUGAGU
Molecule: small nucleolar RNA, 138 nt
Organism: Dioscorea cayenensis subsp. rotundata (Guinea yam)
Lineage: Eukaryota; Viridiplantae; Streptophyta; Magnoliopsida; Dioscoreales; Dioscoreaceae
Product: small nucleolar RNA Z247
Exons: 1
Source: RefSeq, a predicted model, not a curated record